CAUCGGUCCCCGCGCACUGCUAAAUUGCGAACCCCGCCAGGUCCUGACGGAAGCAACGGUAGUGAUGGCUGCAGGUGCGUUGGUCAGGCUGAUGCUG
Molecule: signal recognition particle RNA, 97 nt
Filed under: Gammaproteobacteria bacterium CG11_big_fil_rev_8_21_14_0_20_46_22
Lineage: Bacteria; Pseudomonadati; Pseudomonadota; Gammaproteobacteria
Also listed under: 1 other name
Description: signal recognition particle sRNA small type
Rfam family: Bacterial small signal recognition particle RNA
About the family: The signal recognition particle (SRP) is a universally conserved ribonucleoprotein involved in the co-translational targeting of proteins to membranes.
Source: RNAcentral